Molecule: ribosomal RNA, 579 nt
Filed under: uncultured bacterium
Lineage: Bacteria
Description: bacterial SSU rRNA
Rfam family: Bacterial small subunit ribosomal RNA
Source: RNAcentral
ACGGGUGAGGAAUACAUCGGAAUCUACUCUGUCGUGGGGGAUAACGUAGGGAAACUUACGCUAAUACCGCAUACGACCUACGGGUGAAAGCAGGGGAUCUUCGGACCUUGCGCGAUUGAAUGAGCCGAUGUCGGAUUAGCUAGUUGGCGGGGUAAAGGCCCACCAAGGCGACGAUCCGUAGCUGGUCUGAGAGGAUGAUCAGCCACACUGGAACUGAGACACGGUCCAGACUCCUACGGGAGGCAGCAGUGGGGAAUAUUGGACAAUGGGCGCAAGCCUGAUCCAGCCAUACCGCGUGGGUGAAGAAGGCCUUCGGGUUGUAAAGCCCUUUUGUUGGGAAAGAAAUCCAGCUGGCUAAUACCCGGUUGGGAUGACGGUACCCAAAGAAUAAGCACCGGCUAACUUCGUGCCAGCAGCCGCGGUAAUACGAAGGGUGCAAGCGUUACUCGGAAUUACUGGGCGUAAAGCGUGCGUAGGUGGUCGUUUAAGUCCGUUGUGAAAGCCCUGGGCUCAACCUGGGAACUGCAGUGGAUACUGGGCGACUAGAGUGUGGUAGGGGGUAGCGGAAUUCCUGGUGUA